Molecule: ribosomal RNA, 369 nt
Filed under: uncultured bacterium
Lineage: Bacteria
Description: bacterial SSU rRNA
Rfam family: Bacterial small subunit ribosomal RNA
Source: RNAcentral
GUAGGGUGCGAGCGUUAAUCGGAAUUACUGGGCGUAAAGCGUGCGCAGGCGGUUCGUUGUGUCGGCGGUGAAAGCCCCGGGCUCAACCUGGGAAUGGCCGUUGAAACUGGCGAACUGGAGUGUGGCAGAGGGGGGUGGAAUUCCGCGUGUAGCAGUGAAAUGCGUAGAGAUGCGGAGGAACACCGAUGGCGAAGGCAGCCCCCUGGGCUGACACUGACGCUCAGGCACGAAAGCGUGGGGAGCAAACAGGAUUAGAUACCCUGGUAGUCCACGCCCUAAACGAUGUCGACUGGGUGUUGGGGAAGCGAUUUCCCAGUACCGUAGCUAACGCGUGAAGUCGACCGCCUGGGGAGUACGGCCGCAAGGUUA